GGUUAAGUGACUAAGCGUACACGGUGGAUGCCUGGGCAGUCAGAGGCGAUGAAGGACGUACUAACUUGCGAUAAGCGCAGAUAAGGCAGUAAGAGCCGUUUGAGUCUGCGAUUUCCGAAUGGGGAAACCCAACUGCAUAAGCAGUUACUGUUAACUGAAUACAUAGGUUAACAGAGCAAACCGGGGGAACUGAAACAUCUAAGUACCCCGAGGA
RNAcentral lists this ribosomal RNA (214 nucleotides) under Vibrio cholerae TMA 21. RNAcentral describes it as "23S ribosomal RNA". It matches the Rfam family "Bacterial large subunit ribosomal RNA", at positions 1 to 217 of the family's 2925-position model. The record is from RNAcentral. Lineage: Bacteria; Pseudomonadati; Pseudomonadota; Gammaproteobacteria; Vibrionales; Vibrionaceae.